UGUCUAUUAAUUGUAGACCUGUAUGAAAGGAUAAAUGAGGGUCUAACUGUCUCUUAUAAUAAAUCAAUUAAACUGAUCUUCUAGUAAAAAAGCUAGAAUAGUCCCAUAAGACCAGAAGACCCUGUGAAGCUUAAACUAAAAUAUUAAACCAUAUAAUAUCUACUUUCGGUUGGGGCGACCUUGGAAAAAAAAAGAACUUCCAUAAUACUACGACCAUAAAUCAUACCAGCAGGCCUACAAGCCAUGUACGACCCAGCACAGCUGAUAAUUGAACCAAGUUACUCCAGGGAUAACAGCGCCAUCUUCUUCAAGAGCCCAUAUCAAAAAGAAGGUUUACGACCUCGAUGUUGGAUCAGGACAUCCUAAUGGUGCA
This 373-nucleotide ribosomal RNA is filed under the name Heterodon simus. RNAcentral's name for it is "partial 16S ribosomal RNA". It matches the Rfam family "Bacterial large subunit ribosomal RNA", at positions 1970 to 2557 of the family's 2925-position model. The record is from RNAcentral. Lineage: Eukaryota; Metazoa; Chordata; Lepidosauria; Squamata; Dipsadidae.